UAAAAAUAUUUACCCAUAUUUGGGUGAAAAAAAAUUAGUGUUCGCGUGUUUGUUUUCAUCGUUUUCAUAAAACUAAAGAAAACAUAAAACAUGUCCAGAUUGAAUUUAUUUCGGUCGUCUGGCUGAACAUUAUGACGGUACUGAGCAUGAGAAGUCACAAGAGGCUCGGACCAAGCUGAACCUCCCGGGAACCAAUGGAGUAUCUGCACCCGUUGCAUAAACAGCCGCGGAAACGGACACCUUCGACAACAUCGCAAAUAAAUCCUGCCGGAUCUCCAGCUGCGACCGCUCCGACAAUGAGACACCUGUCUAGAUGCUGCAUUCCAAACCUUUUGCGGUCUACUCUAGGAAUACGGGAAGAAGGUGGGCUAUUUUUUUUUGUUGCUUCAAGCCAGCGCGCAGUCGGGACCGCAGAUACAACUGCGUCGGUGAUGUAACCGCAGCCGGUGUGCUCCUCAGUGAAGUGGACAACUCACAAUGCCACCAUCAAACAGAACUUUAGCCCCCGGACCUUCAACACAGUGAAAUGCGAAUGUUAGCCUAUAAUCUUUGAAUCAGUAUCCUUGCACCGAUACCCUCCUAUCAGUAUUCAACCCCCGGACCCACCAAGUACCGUUGAGGAACUACCGACAACCGUGAUUAAACACACCCAUGUACAAGCAGCAAACCUGAGUAUCCGGAAGCACUCCUACCACGGUGUAAUUUCCGGCUCCUGCAGUGAGCGAACUUAUGUUGGUGCAGACCAACUAUUAUUGUAUUAUAUUUAUUUUGUUAAAAAUUAUAUUUUUUUGUUAUAAUAAAAUGACAGAUAUUAUGAUAAUUUUUAAAA
Molecule: long non-coding RNA, 829 nt
Organism: Armigeres subalbatus
Lineage: Eukaryota; Metazoa; Arthropoda; Insecta; Diptera; Culicidae
Exons: 4
Source: RefSeq, a predicted model, not a curated record